ACCAGGUUUCUCCCCAGUAAUCCAGACUCCACUUCACAGAGCCAAGAGUUUGAGUACAAGUAAGUGAUGUUAUUUGUGACGUUUUUUGUCUUGGAAACUAUUGCUUCUAUUUAAGAUUAGGAAUCCUUUUAUCCAUAAUCUGUUUUUCAUUAGGGCACUUGACUUUCUGGAUAAAAGGUGUCGAGUACUAAGCUUUACACCACCAGCAGCAAAUUUACCCUGGCAGCAUAUGGGUGAAAACGCUGGAGGAGAAAGCCAUCGCUUUAUUAUUGGCCCUUGGACGCCCCUGGCAUCUCGUGAACAGCACAAAGUUUUCAGCUAUGAAGUGACUCCAGAAUGAAAACCAAGCUCUGAGGGAGGAGAACCAAGCCCUGAGGGAAUGCAAUGCACAAGCAGCUUCGGGUUGACAGAGGCUCACUUCAAGAGCAGGUGAAGCAAGUAGGGACAAUGUUGAAGACGUUUGCUCUCACUGGGCAAUCAGG
Long non-coding RNA from Esox lucius (northern pike), 482 nucleotides. NCBI's taxonomy places the organism in Eukaryota, Metazoa, Chordata, Actinopteri, Esociformes, Esocidae. The record is from Ensembl.